This 1597-nucleotide unclassified non-coding RNA is filed under the name Hevea brasiliensis (rubber tree). The record is from RNAcentral. Lineage: Eukaryota; Viridiplantae; Streptophyta; Magnoliopsida; Malpighiales; Euphorbiaceae.
GGCGUAUGAAUUAUCAAGAACCAGCUUUAAAUUACAGAACAAACAAUAAUUAUACUACAAUCACAUUGUUCAUCCUUCAUCAAUCCAUACAUGAAAAUAGCAUUACAAAACCUCAUUAAAAACCCAUGAACCAAUUAUGUUCUUGAACAAAUCCACUCACAAACACAUACCAACCCCACUAAUAACCGAGACUGACACAUGCAAUCAACAGAGUAUAAAAAGUGCAGACUCAUCUCCUGCAACGAGUAAUCCUGGAACAUCCUCUAGUGUAGGGGUUAACAGGGGUUCUAGCCUUAAAACAAUUGUGGGUGUAGUAUGAUCUCCCAGAACGUGGAGGGCAAGGAAUCCUAUUAGCUGCGAGAGCUCCAUAUGAGAUAUAGUAACGUACUCUUCUCCAAAACAAAGAUCUGCGCUCUCCCAUCUUCUCAUCACCAUCCUCCUCACCAUCUAAAUCUAUAAACCCAUCACCAAACUCACCUUUCUCCUCCAAAUUACUGUACAUGGACAUCGCCAUUGGCCAUUCUAGAGCGUCCACCGUUAUCUUCAAGCCUGUUUCUUCCACUUGGGCAUGGGUAAUUGAACUGAGAGCGAGAAAGAUGAUGAAGAAGAAGAGAUAUAGAGCAGGAGCUGGAGAUGCCAUGGAGAACACAGGAGUGGGAGGUAAACGAAGCAAGAGAGAAGCUUAAGUUUAGAGAGGGGAAGAGGAAGAGUAGGGACAACAUGUCACAUUGAGAUAGCGUGAGAGAAGUGAGCAGUGAUUGGAUUACAGCUGUGCUUCAUCAAUGCAUCAAUUAACGCGUGUUCUAGGCAUCUCUGCUUACAGUACGAGCUUUGUUAGGGCAGGGGAGGGAGCAAUGAUUCUGUGCUAUCGGUCUCAAUUGAUUAAGUUUUAGGACUGCCUUUGGGAUGGCUUCUCCGUAGUUGUAUUGCAAAGUUAGGAGAUCUGAAUGGCUCUUGUGUCAGGUGAACGGUCGAGAUGUCGUAAUAUUGUGCAGUGGUGACGAAUAAGACAGCGGCACAUUCGGCGGAUUGUAUAAAAAGCCGCGGCUGGUCGGACAUGCUUGGUCCCAUCUGACGCUGUCUAGUUAUAUUAUUUCAUUUUUAAAUCUCGUGAUUGAUUCCAAUCCUUGAAAAAUGAAAUAUUUCAAUCAAUCUUAAAAAUGGGAAUGUUCAUUUUCUUUGUAAUUAAGCCAAUGAAUCUCCAAAAGUGCAGUCUUCUCUUACUGUCUGGAUUUUUGAAGAUGGGUUGACAGUUCAAACCCAAUGUAGCGAGGGGCUUCCAUAGAGUUGGCCCAAAGCAAAGAGGUAGAUGGGGCAAAUUCAGAGGCGUUGUCGGAGUUGGUCCUUAAAAGGCUGGUUGGGAAUGGGGUUUGAACAUGAAAUGGGGCUGCUUCGAUCUGUUCCAUGUCGCUCAGAAUGUAAAGUCAAUAGACUAGCUACUUGUACUCUUAUGGUCUGCCAAGCCCAGUCCUUGUAGCUAAAAGUCUAAAACCUUCACUCAACUAACUCUAUCAAUAGAUUUGGCUUUAAAAUCUUUGUGUUAGUUGAGUGAAGGCGUUAGGCUUUCAAAUAGACUAUAAGAUUGCCUCAAAAUUUU